Molecule: ribosomal RNA, 120 nt
Filed under: Scophthalmus maximus (turbot)
Lineage: Eukaryota; Metazoa; Chordata; Actinopteri; Pleuronectiformes; Scophthalmidae
Source: RNAcentral
GCUUACGGCCACACUGCCUGGUUCACGCCCGGUCUCGUUUGAUCUCGGAAGCUAAGAUAGGUUGGGCCUGGUUAGUACUUGGAUGGGAGACCACCUGGGAAUAUUCAGGUGCUGUAAGCU